GAGAUUUGGGUGGGGACACAGAGCCAAACUAAUCCUAAUCCCCCUAAUCCUCUGUUUCCUCACCUGUUAGAUGGAGACCCCUCUCUCCAUUAUCCCCAGGGCUGAAUCAGGUGGAGUGGGUGAAACUCCUGGUAUUCACAGAGCCUGUCCCAUGGUCUCGCUGCUGCUCACUGCAUGUUCCCUAACCCCACCCGCACCCCCAGAUGGGCUUCCAUUUCUCUCUGAAUGUACCCUAUGGUACACACCCUGGUCCAAAGGGGCAGACUUGGCUGUUUCAUUUGUCUUCACAGGGACUUGAUUGAUUCAUCUUGGGUCCCAGUGCCUAACUCAGGGCAGCUACAAUAUAUAUAUGGUUGUUGAGUGAAGAAGAAAAAAAAAUUGAGACAUUCCUAUCAGAAAUCAUCAGAUGUGUUAUAAUUAAACUGUAGGUACAAUAAAAGAAGUAUAAACUUUUCUUUCUUACAUUUAGGAGUCAAAUCAUUGACCCAGAUAUUUUGAAUUAUCAAUAUGGAGAUCCUGUAACAACCUUAAAUUACUAGAAAGCCACCAUUGUUUACUAUUUUCAAAUUUUGGCCGUCUUGGACUAUAAAGGACCACACACCAGUGACAGAUGCAUGACAAAUUUAAAAGGGCACCUCAGCUUUUCAAUGUGUGGCCACUGCCACCUUCAUGGCCCUGGACAGCUCGACACUAAAUUUCCAACCACCCCUUCCGGUAUGAUGAGGCUGCCUGGCCAUCCUCGGUGGAAUCAACCACACUCAGCUCUGUGGAAGAAGGAAUGCCCAGCACUGUUCCCCAGAGCCGCCUGCAGCAACUGACAGCCGCCCGCCUCGGCUGCCGCUCCACCUGCUCAGGCCUGCCUUCAGAGUUGUCGGAUAGGUGGCAAGCCAAAGGGAUCCUCGUGUUCACAGAAAGUCUUCCUGAAACCCAAGUGGACACCCAGUUCAGAGACCAUGAAGUGAAACAGUUGGAGAAACUCCCUGGAAAGUUUCACUGGGGACAAACACUGGAUUAUUCAGAUUAGCCUGGGCCAUGAAAAUAUUCUACUAGAAGCAUUGUGAGCUGAAUCCAGGUGCCCUGGCUUCAAAUCCCAUCAGAGGUGGAUUCUGACAUGAGGUAGAUUAUGAGCCCACAGCCACCAGGAAGAACCAGUCACAGGCAAGAGCUUUUAGCCCUGCCCGGAAGGAAAGUACCACCAAGUUCCCAAAAGCAGCAGACAAGUGUCCUUCAGGAACUGAGAGACUCAGCCUGGUAUUGUGUGCUAAUAAUUACACCCGGCUUUUUUGUUUUUUAAAGAAAAAUAAGUUGUAAAAUUCCAGCACUUCGGGAGGCCGAGGCAGGUGGAUCCCUUGAGCACAGGAGUUUGAGACCAGCCGGGACAACAU
Long non-coding RNA from Macaca mulatta (Rhesus monkey), 1385 nucleotides. RefSeq lists it as uncharacterized. NCBI's taxonomy places the organism in Eukaryota, Metazoa, Chordata, Mammalia, Primates, Cercopithecidae. The record is from RefSeq and is a predicted model, not a curated record.